This 253-nucleotide ribosomal RNA is filed under the name uncultured bacterium. RNAcentral describes it as "partial 16S ribosomal RNA". It matches the Rfam family "Bacterial small subunit ribosomal RNA", at positions 524 to 776 of the family's 1533-position model. The record is from RNAcentral.
GACGAAGGGAGCAAGCGUUGCUCGGAAUAAUUGGGCGUAAAGGGUGCGCAGGCGGUUUUUUAAGUGAAGUGUUAAAGACUUGGACUCAAUCUAGGGAAUGCAUUUCAUACUGAAAAACUUGAGUGUGGGAGAGGAAACGGGAAUUCCUCAUGUAGAGGUGAAAUUCGUAGAUAUGAGGAGGAACACCAGAGGCGAAGGCGAGUUUCUGGAACACAACUGACGCUAAGGCACGAAAGCGUGGGGAGCAAACAGG